GCGUGACCUGGUCUAAUGGAGUUUCUUCUACAAAAAUAGGUUUCUUUGUCUAUUGGCUUUUUGGCUUUUAGAAUGAUGGUUAGGUCCUCCAUAGCUAUGUUCCAUGGGUAGUUUUGUGAUAUCCUAGGCAUGGGGUAGAAAAGAAAGGAGUGAUGUGUAAUGGAAUAGUAAGGCAACAAAAUUGAUGAGGGAAUUGGAGGG
Molecule: long non-coding RNA, 201 nt
Filed under: Elaeis guineensis (African oil palm)
Lineage: Eukaryota; Viridiplantae; Streptophyta; Magnoliopsida; Arecales; Arecaceae
Description: long non-coding RNA (EGUI_LNC021102)
Source: RNAcentral